GCACUAAGUAACAUAUGACUGUCAUCUGUUUUCCACUAGACAGAUCCCAACCUGGAAGAGUGACAGAUGGUAUUUCAGAUACAAGUGACUCAAGCAAAGCUUGAUAAACUGGGGGCUGGAAAAAAAUGCACAUUUACACAAAGCCUGGAGUAACUGCAGCACAGGCAGAGAAUAGCACAGGAAAGGCCAGAAGGUUUAUGAGAAAACUCAGGUGAAUUCGAGGAUGGCCUAACUGAAAGAACACCACAUAAUUCCAGACUCACGAACUCAGUCCAGCGAGGCUCAAGGGGAGUUAUAAAGUCCUCUGGAACUCGGUUCUGGGCUCUCAGACCUUGCAGGAGAGGACAGCAAAGGAAGGUUUUCAUCUGCACUGCCAAAACUGAGUGGUGGGCCGGCAGCCAGGUGGUCUUUGCAAGGUGCAAGGAGGCAUGAAUAUCAUGGAAGCCAUGGAGCGCUUUGGGUCCAGGAAGAGCAAGACCAGCAAGAUCACCAUUGCCAAAUGUGGACAACUCCAAUAAAUUUGAUUUGUGUUUCUCUUAAUCACCAGAGCAUUCCUUCUGUAGCUCAGGAGAGCACACUUCCACCCAUGUGUUCAUAAUAUCCUAUAAUUUUCAUGCUCUUGCUGAAGUUUUUGGAGCUUGUUUUUUUAAUU
Pan troglodytes (chimpanzee) is the source of this 652-nucleotide long non-coding RNA. The record is from Ensembl. NCBI's taxonomy places the organism in Eukaryota, Metazoa, Chordata, Mammalia, Primates, Hominidae.